AGUGAACGCUGGCGGCAUGCCUUACACAUGCAAGUCGAACGGUAACAGGUCUUCGGAUGCUGACGAGUGGCGAACGGGUGAGUAAUACAUCGGAACGUGCCUAGUAGUGGGGGAUAACUACUCGAAAGAGUGGCUAAUACCGCAUGAGAUCUACGGAUGAAAGCAGGGGAUCGCAAGACCUUGUGCUACUAGAGCGGCCGAUGGCAGAUUAGGUAGUUGGUGGGAUAAAAGCUUACCAAGCCGACGAUCUGUAGCUGGUCUGAGAGGACGAUCAGCCACACUGGACUGAGACACGGCCCAGACUCCUACGGGAGGCAGCAGUGGGGAAUUUUGGACAAUGGGCGAAAGCCUGAUCCAGCAAUGCCGCGUGCAGGAUGAAGGCCUUCGGGUUGUAAACUGCUUUUGUACGGAACGAAAAGCCCCGGGUUAAUACCCUGGGGUCAUGACUGUACCGUAAGAAUAAGCACCGGCUAACUACGUGCCAGCCGCCGCGGUAA
This 497-nucleotide ribosomal RNA is filed under the name uncultured bacterium. Its description in RNAcentral is "partial 16S ribosomal RNA". It matches the Rfam family "Bacterial small subunit ribosomal RNA", at positions 29 to 523 of the family's 1533-position model. The record is from RNAcentral.